AGGCCUGAGACGGCGCAGUCGAGCACCACGAGCAGUCGAGACCCCGCAGCUGCAGGCCGUAGUGGAGGCGACGGCGGCGACGGCGGGGCGGUGCGAGACAACGGCGACGCGACCGACUCCAACCCUACGUCCUUCCCCUUCUUCGUCCUUCUCGCCGAUCUCUCCUCCACCAUUUAGAGUUGGGGAAGGUGAACCUCCGCCUUCUUGGGAUCCAGUACCAACUCCAGAAGUUCUACAAUGAGUCUAUCACUGCGAGAUCGCAUUAGAAAGAGGAGGGAGGAGGAAGAUGAUGACAUGAUGCUAUUUAUUUUCCCUGCCUUAUAUCUUAUGAGUUCUGUUAGAGGGGGAGAAAGGAGGAAACGCCAUACUUCGGAAGAAACAGGCGAGGCACAUGGCUUUGACAGUUCUUAAAAGAUAUUGCUGGGAGCUUGUUGUUUUGCUUCAUACGAUUAAGUGGAGUAUUGGAAGGCUAGAUUACGUUCUUUUUUUAUUUUUGCAUUUAAUGGAGUUUUGAUCUGGUUGAUGUUGUCUUUGGGUAUUUUUGUAAUUUAUAUUUUGGAUCUAGGAAGCAUUUCAAGUUUAAACAUGAUAUUAGCACUUUGAGUCUGAGUGACCGUAGACAUUUUUUGGAAAAAGAUGAGUGGUCAUGCACAUGUGUGCGCCUUUGAGCCGGUGAUCACGCCGUGCAAGUAGCCAGGAAAAAUUUUGCUUUUACCAUCUUGACAGUUUGCAAAUGUAAGGCUAAAGUCAGCUGAGAUUUUGACAA
Molecule: long non-coding RNA, 766 nt
Organism: Sorghum bicolor (sorghum)
Lineage: Eukaryota; Viridiplantae; Streptophyta; Magnoliopsida; Poales; Poaceae
Exons: 4
Source: RefSeq, a predicted model, not a curated record